This is a long non-coding RNA of Cyprinodon variegatus (sheepshead minnow), 487 nucleotides long. RefSeq lists it as uncharacterized. The record is from RefSeq and is a predicted model, not a curated record. The transcript is spliced from 3 exons. Lineage: Eukaryota; Metazoa; Chordata; Actinopteri; Cyprinodontiformes; Cyprinodontidae.
CUGGGAUCUAUUAACUUUAAACUCAGCAUGCUGUGUUCAAAGGGAAGGAUUUCACUUUCAGGGACUUGGGUUCAGGUUUGUUUUUGUCAAAAUGCUUCAGCUAUGAAGAAGCAGCACUGGAUGCUUGACCUUUGAAGUUCAUCAGACAGCUGCUGGACGUCCCACCAGGUUCAGCCCACCCUCAGAGCGGAAAGCUGAGAGGAAUAAAAACCCAAAUCCGGUUCUGACCGGCUCCGGCAGCUGGCAGAGAAGACCGUCUACUUCCGAUGGAGGCUUCAGGAAAUGGGCUUCAUCAUCUACGGGAACGAAGACUCUCCCGUUGUACCCAUGAUGCUCUACAUGCCCGCCAAGAUAGGAGCCUUCGGCCGCGAGAUGCUGCGGCGAAACAUUGGCAUGGUCGUGGUGGGCUUCCCGGCCACGCCCAUCAUCGAGUCGGGGGCACGCUUCUGCAUCUCUGCAGCUCAUUCCAAAGAACUGCUGGACCAGG